UACGUAGGGUGCGAGCGUUGUCCGGAAUUACUGGGCGUAAAGAGCUCGUAGGUGGUUUGUCGCGUUGUUCGUGAAAACUCACAGCUUAACUGUGGGCGUGCGGGCGAUACGGGCAGACUGGAGUACUGCAGGGGAGACUGGAAUUCCUGGUGUAGCGGUGGAAUGCGCAGAUAUCAGGAGGAACACCGGUGGCGAAGGCGGGUCUCUGGGCCAUUACUGACGCUGAGGAGCGAAAGCGUGGGGAGCGAACAGG
This 253-nucleotide ribosomal RNA is filed under the name uncultured bacterium. RNAcentral's name for it is "partial 16S ribosomal RNA". It matches the Rfam family "Bacterial small subunit ribosomal RNA", at positions 524 to 776 of the family's 1533-position model. The record is from RNAcentral.